AACGCGAAGAACCUUACCUAAGCUUGACAUCCUUUUGACCUCUCCCUAAUCGGAGAUUUCCCUUCGGGGGCAGAAGUGACAGGUGGUGCAUGGUUGUCGUCAGCUCGUGUCGUGAGAUGUUGGGUUAAGUCCCGCAACGAGCGCAACCCUUGUCUUUAGUUGCCAGCAUUAAGUUGGGCACUCUAGAGGGACUGCCAGGGAUAACCUGGAGGAAGGUGGGGAUGACGUCAAAUCAUCAUGCCCCUUAUGCUUAGGGCUACACACGUGCUACAAUGGGUGGUACAGAGGGCAGCCAAGUCGUGAGGCGGAGCUAAUCCCUUAAAGCCAUUCUCAGUUCGGAUUGUAGGCUGAAACUCGCCUACAUGAAGCUGGAGUUACUAGUAAUCGCAGAUCAGAAUGCUGCGGUGAAUGCGUUCCCGGGUCUUGUACACACCG
Molecule: ribosomal RNA, 435 nt
Filed under: uncultured bacterium
Lineage: Bacteria
Description: bacterial SSU rRNA
Rfam family: Bacterial small subunit ribosomal RNA
Source: RNAcentral